CGAGAAGACUGGUGGCAGUUAUGUAAAAUGGCUGAGGAAAGUCCGUACUCGCACUUACUGGAAUUGUAAGUAGUUUUAGUGCGAGGUCUAAUAAACCUCGGCGGAAAUCUUUGAUUUUCGACGGCUGAUGAAAUACCUAAGUGUUUUUUAAGCAUAUGGUAUCAAUCUAUAAAAGUGCUAUAGUGACGAAUGCUUGGGAAACCAAGCAAGUGAGACGUCGUAAACCCCGCUAGCGAGCAAUCCAAAUUCUUUAAAUUGGUAGGAGCACCAAAGAAAGAGAAAAAUAAUCUUAAUUGGUAAUUCUCACAAGGAAUUAAGACAGAUCACCGGUUAAAAACAGAAUACGGCUUAUUCUU
RNAcentral lists this RNase P RNA (356 nucleotides) under Spiroplasmataceae bacterium. Its description in RNAcentral is "RNase P RNA component class B". It matches the Rfam family "Bacterial RNase P class B". Rfam says of the family: Ribonuclease P (RNase P) is a ubiquitous endoribonuclease, found in archaea, bacteria and eukarya as well as chloroplasts and mitochondria. Its best characterised activity is the generation of mature 5'-ends of tRNAs by cleaving the 5'-leader elements of precursor-tRNAs. The record is from RNAcentral. Lineage: Bacteria; Bacillati; Mycoplasmatota; Mollicutes; Entomoplasmatales; Spiroplasmataceae.